Molecule: ribosomal RNA, 403 nt
Filed under: uncultured bacterium
Lineage: Bacteria
Description: bacterial SSU rRNA
Rfam family: Bacterial small subunit ribosomal RNA
Source: RNAcentral
UGAGGAAUAUUGGGCAAUGCCCGAAAGGGUGACCCAGCAACGCCGCGUGGAGGAUGAAGGUCGUAAGAUUGUAAACUCCUGUUAGAGGGGAAGAAUAACUAAGUUUGGAGCUUAGUAUGACUGUACCCUCAGAGAAAGCCCCGGCUAACUACGUGCCAGCAGCCGCGGUAAUACGUAGGGGGCAAGCGUUGUCCGGAUUUACUGGGUGUAAAGGGCGCGCAGGCGGAAUGGAAAGUCAGUGGUGAAAUCCUACAGCUUAACUGUAGAACUGCCUUUGAUACUUUCAUUCUUGAGUUCGGGAGAGAGAGACGGAAUUCCAGGUGUAGUGGUGAAAUACGUAGAUAUCUGGAAGAACACCAGUUGCGAAGGCGGGCCCUUGGUCCGAUACUGACGCUGAGGCGCG